CCCAGGGCUGGUGUCUGUUCACUGGUGGGUGAAGCCAGGCCCUGGGGCUAGUGCUGGCCCACUGGCAGGCAGAGCUGUGUCCUGGGGUCUUGCUGCAAGGCCCAGGGGUCCCAGGGCUGGUGCCAGACAGCUGGUCAUUGGGGCUGGUUCCUGACACAGCUGCCUGUAAGGUCUGGGGUGUCCCAAAGCUUGUGUUGGCUUGCUGAGGAAAGAACACACGAGGACAAAGUCACUGUCUACAAGCCAGGAAGAGAGCCCACACCUGAAACUGAAUCCUGCCAGAAACUUGAUCUUGUACUUUCCAGCCUCCAGAACUGGUAUCUGCUGAAUUGGUUUUCCUUCAGGGAACCCACUUAAAGUUUGGGAAGUUUCUACUGACAUAUUCUCAAGCUCAGAGAUUCUUUCCUCAGCCCUAUCUAUUGGUGAGCCCAGCAAAGCAUGCUUUGUAUAUUUGUUGAAAGCUGAACUUGAUGUAUUAGGUAAUAGAAACCAGUCCUAAGGUUCUCCCAGGUCUCUCACUGACCAGCUCUUCUCCAAGGGCUCCCUCCAGGGAAAGUCUAGAGAACAUCCAGGGAGGCAGCAGCAGUGACAUAAUCAGAGUGCCAGCAGUGAUGUGGAUCUUUGUCUACAAAAUCAUCUCCAAAUUGCUGCUGAGAAAGAAGACGACAAUGAGAGUUCCUCGGCCUGAUGUGGACUGUGGCAACCAGUAUACAGGGGUCUGCUGGCUGGAGGAGGAACCCCCCAAGUCUCACCAGUGUUGGGGAUGUCCUGAGCCUUGGCCGCUGUGGAACUGAGUUUCAGACCAAGACUUUGGGAGCAGGCACAGUCCCUGCACACAAAGCUGCCUGGAGCCAGAGUGGAGCUACCAGUAGUAGAACCAGGGAAGGAAGCAAGCAAAGUGGUGGGAGUGUGGUGAAGGCCCUGCCCAAGGCUGCAGAUACAGAACCAGAGACGCCCAUGCUGGAGUAAGGCUGAGAGAGUACCAGUAUUAUUGUUUGCAAUGAUUCUUUUAAAUUAUUUUUGAAGAUCCUUUCCUAACCUUUAAGAAUCAGAAUAGUUAACAUUUGAAAUAUUUUCUGUAUCAGUUUUUAGGUGUUAGAAACUGGCAAGAAGCCUGAGAGGAGGCUUAAUUCUGGAAAGUGUGUCUUUUACAACAAUUUCAAUGUGAAAAACGUUUUUCCAAAUGAAUUUUGACUCUCGUGGUGAACACACACUGAUAAGCUGACGCAUUCUAGUAUCUGAUAUGGCCACGGUCUUCAAAUGAAAAAGCAAGCACUUGCUGUCCUUUGAAAUAUCUGCUGCAUCUCAUGCUGCUAUGUGUGUACGAGUGAACCUGCUUUUAUGGUUGUAUUUUUUGUGUUGAAUAGCUACUUUGAAUUUUCAUGAUUAUGCUUUGAUUAUUCAUAAUUUUUCAUUUUAUAGAACUGAUGUGUGUUGACAGUAAACUAAAUAAAAGAAAUAAAUGUGUGAAAU
Balaenoptera acutorostrata (minke whale) is the source of this 1473-nucleotide long non-coding RNA. RefSeq lists it as uncharacterized. The record is from RefSeq and is a predicted model, not a curated record. NCBI's taxonomy places the organism in Eukaryota, Metazoa, Chordata, Mammalia, Artiodactyla, Balaenopteridae. The transcript is spliced from 6 exons.